Zophobas morio is the source of this 347-nucleotide long non-coding RNA. RefSeq lists it as uncharacterized. The record is from RefSeq and is a predicted model, not a curated record. The transcript is spliced from 4 exons. NCBI's taxonomy places the organism in Eukaryota, Metazoa, Arthropoda, Insecta, Coleoptera, Tenebrionidae.
UUAUUUUUUUCUUUUUUUAAAACCCUUGUCGGGGCUGUGGUAGUGGUCGAGUUAAAAAAUGAGUUAAAAAUUAAAGGUAAACUACAUUCUGUGGAUCAGUUUUUAAACAUUAAGCUUAUGGAUAUUCAAGUUUUAGAAAGUAGUAAGCACCCGCACAUGUUCUCCGUAAAAAAUUGCUUUAUACGAGGUUCUGUUAUAAGAUACGUCCAAGUUCCUCCUGAUAAAGUGGAUACCGAUUUAUUGCAGGAUGCAACCCGGAAGGCUCCCAAGCAGCAGGCUCUUUCGUAGUUUUCAAAGAAAUAAUUGCCCUCCUUAUGAUUUUUUAAAAAAAAACUAACUUUUGGCUG